Long non-coding RNA from Zonotrichia leucophrys gambelii, 1894 nucleotides. RefSeq lists it as uncharacterized. The record is from RefSeq and is a predicted model, not a curated record. Lineage: Eukaryota; Metazoa; Chordata; Aves; Passeriformes; Passerellidae. The transcript is spliced from 3 exons.
GGACACGGCUCCGCGUCCUGUCCAGGCGGGACGUCCCUCAUGCCCCUCCAGAGCUCCAGAGCGUAUCCCAGAGCAAAGCCGCGACGGGGGGAGCCGGAGGAGGGAGGGCAGGGAAAGGCACUUGGUUUCCUGAGGUCCCGGGAGCAGCUGAAGCGACCUGUUGCACUCGCCGCUCGUCGGAAGGGCUCUCCCGGAUCCACUGGCCGCAGGGUUGAGGCUGCUCUGCUCGGGGACCCGUCUCCCCCACAGCAGGGCAUAAAAACAAGACACAAACCCCAAAUCAACAGAGGAAAAACCUCCCCGCUAACAUCCGAGACACAGCACCUCCCCUUCUCCGGCACCGGCCUCCCGAAAGUAAUUGAAUCGUGUUGGACAGCAAAGUGCGAGUGAAAAAGGGGGGGAGUAUCGUAAGGAGAGCCCGGGAAGACACCGAGGACAGCGAAGGCAGCCCUCAUCCCGGGAGCAGCGGCCAUGGCGAGGUGCACCCACACCAACCUGAAUCUCUCCUUUCUCCUCCGAAAACACCGGCUCCGGGAGCUCAGCCUGGACAGAGGACGGGGUGGGGGAUGCUCCUCCCGACCCCGCCGGGGAGCGAGCCCAGCCCGCAGCCGCGCAUCCUCCGCGGGGCGUCUGUCUGUCUGUCCGUGUCCCUCACGGAGCGGAGCGGAGCGCCGCCUCUGCCGGCCCUGGGGCCGCCCGAGCUGCAAGUGGCCCCACGGGCGCAGGCCGGCCACUGCCAAAAAUUACUUUAGAGAAAGCAAAAAACAAACAAAAAAAAGCUAUUUAUGUGUCAGUGAGCCGGCGGAAAUCAGCCGCGUUGAGCUUCUCCCCAGCCGGGCGGCGCUGGGGCAGGGAGAACUGGAAAGCAACAGUGAGAAGGAUAACCAAGCCUGAACUCCCCGCAGAGAAUCAGAAGCCCGAUUUAUCUAAAGGUUCUUGCGGCUCGCCUUGCGGGCCGGCAGGGUGGGGACACUCAGGGGUGAGCUCGGUAACUCAGACCGGCCGGGGAACCCCGACACCGGGAAGGUGAAUCACCCCCAGGACCGUCUCUUCCCUACUUUCUCGUUGGGAAGAGGUCCUUGGCUAUGGGGUUUAUAGCCAUGAGAAAGCUGCCGGUGGAGGGAAAGGGAGGCGGGCAGGGCUUUGCCCCAUGUGCUGCCCGCGCUGUGACACACGGGGAGGGACCCGGCGCGUCCAUCGGAAACAAUUGCGGGCGCGCAGAGCUCCGCGAUGACUCCCUCGGAGCCACCUGCCAGAGCCACUGCCGAGCUGUGAACCAGACGGUGUGACACAGAGGAGCGGGGACAUGUCUGAGGGCUAGAAGACAGUUUUGUCUGAGGAGAGGAGGUGCCUCAGCUCCAGCUUCCCUUUGCACAGGGAGGAGGCAGGCGGCAGGGUGAGACACAGCUGGCACCUCAGGGAUGGCAGCAGCUCAGGGUGCGGCGAUUCCUGUCCCCUGCAAGGGCCGGGUGUGCCCUCAAGGCUGCCAGGGAAAGGCGUCCUCUAAACACCCGGGCCAGGGAAGUCGAAUUCACCCCCGAAGUGCUGUCACCAAAUGCCCCGGGAAGGGGAAAAGGAGCGUCCCACAACACCGGGCUCUGCUGCGCCCCCAGCCCAUGCCCUCUUCCCCUAGGCUAAAAAAAAGAACAGGGCUGAGCCCGGUGCGAGUCAGGGCUGCCCACAGCCCCGAGAGCCUGGCUCACGCCCCGCCGGCCGGCUGUGCUCGGGCCGCCUCGCUGCCAAGCGCCGCGGGGCACAGCCGGGCUGCGGGUCCGGAGCCCGGAGAUUUAACCCCUUGUGGGGAGCGAUGGAGUUCGGCAGAAGGGAGAGAUCCUACGGGAGAAGUGUGGCACCCAACUUUCGCGGAAGGCCAACUUUAAAUCGAAUUAAUUCC